AAGUCGUAACAAGGUUUCCGUAGGUGAACCUGCGGAAGGAUCAUUAUAGAUGUGCGCAAGCACUUAUCCUUCAAUACACCUGUGCACUGUGGUCUUCGGACCUUUACAAACAUUGUAGUCAUGAACGUCUUGAUAAUAACAAAAUAAAACUUUCAACAACGGAUCUCUUGGCUCUC
Molecule: unclassified non-coding RNA, 176 nt
Filed under: Cryptococcus sp. (in: basidiomycete fungi)
Lineage: Eukaryota; Fungi; Basidiomycota; Tremellomycetes; Tremellales; Cryptococcaceae
Description: Cryptococcus sp. (in: Fungi) partial contains small subunit ribosomal RNA, internal transcribed spacer 1, and 5.8S ribosomal RNA
Rfam family: Eukaryotic small subunit ribosomal RNA (bases 1-46)
Source: RNAcentral